This 375-nucleotide ribosomal RNA is filed under the name uncultured bacterium. RNAcentral describes it as "bacterial SSU rRNA". It matches the Rfam family "Bacterial small subunit ribosomal RNA", at positions 521 to 896 of the family's 1533-position model. The record is from RNAcentral.
UAAUACGUAGGGGGCAAGCGUUGUCCGGAAUUAUUGGGCGUAAAGCGCGCGCAGGCGGUUCUUUAAGUCUGGUGUCUAAGUGCGGGGCUCAACCCCGUGAUGCACUGGAAACUGGGGAACUUGAGUGCAGAAGAGGAGAGCGGAAUUCCACGUGUAGCGGUGAAAUGCGUAGAGAUGUGGAGGAACACCAGUGGCGAAGGCGGCUCUCUGGACUGUAACUGACGCUGAGGCGCGAAAGCGUGGGGAGCAAACAGGAUUAGAUACCCUGGUAGUCCACGCUGUAAACGAUGAGUGCUAGGUGUUGGGGGUAUCAUGCCCUCGGUGCCGAAGUUAACACAUUAAGCACUCCGCCUGGGGAGUACGGUCGCAAGACUG